GAUGAACGCUGGCGGCGUGCCUAAUACAUGCAAGUCGAACGCUGGAGAUCUAGCUUGCUAGAUCGAAGGAGUGGCGAACGGGUGAGUAAUACAUAAGCAACCUACCCACGAAGACUGGGAUAAUCUCUGGAAACGGGGACUAAUACCGGAUAGGUAAUCGGAAGGCAUCUUCUGGUUAUUAAAGGUUAAAAACACUGGUGGAUGGGCUUAUGGCGCAUUAGUUAGUUGGUGAGGUAACGGCCCACCAAGACGAUGAUGCGUAGCCGGCCUGAGAGGGUGAACGGCCACAUUGGGACUGAGACACGGCCCAGACUCCUACGGGAGGCAGCAGUAGGGAAUUUUCGGCAAUGGGGGCAACCCUGACCGAGCAACGCCGCGUGAGUGAAGACGGCCUUCGGGUUGUAAAGCUCUGUUGUAAGGGAAGAACGGUAGAUAGAGAAUAUCUAAGUGACGGUACCUCACCAGAAAGCCACGGCUAACUACGUG
Molecule: ribosomal RNA, 486 nt
Filed under: uncultured bacterium
Lineage: Bacteria
Description: partial 16S ribosomal RNA
Rfam family: Bacterial small subunit ribosomal RNA
Source: RNAcentral